This 378-nucleotide ribosomal RNA is filed under the name uncultured bacterium. RNAcentral describes it as "bacterial SSU rRNA". It matches the Rfam family "Bacterial small subunit ribosomal RNA", at positions 527 to 904 of the family's 1533-position model. The record is from RNAcentral.
GUAGGGGGCAAGCGUUAUCCGGAUUUACUGGGUGUAAAGGGAGCGUAGACGGAUGGACAAGUCUGAUGUGAAAGGCUGGGGCUCAACCCCGGGACUGCAUUGGAGACUGCCCGUCUUGAGUGCCGGAGAGGUAAGCGGAAUUCCUAGUGUAGCGGUGAAAUGCGUAGAUAUUAGGAGGAACACCAGUGGCGAAGGCGGCUUACUGGACGGUAACUGACGUUGAGGCUCGAAAGCGUGGGGAGCAAACAGGAUUAGAUACCCUGGUAGUCCACGCGGUAAACGAUGAAUGCUAGGUGUCGGGGAGCAAAGCUCUUCGGUGCCGCCGCAAACGCAUUAAGCAUUCCACCUGGGGAGUACGUUCGCAAGAAUGAAACUCAA